Molecule: ribosomal RNA, 460 nt
Filed under: uncultured bacterium
Lineage: Bacteria
Description: partial 16S ribosomal RNA
Rfam family: Bacterial small subunit ribosomal RNA
Source: RNAcentral
GAUGAGCGCUGGCGGCGUGCCUAAUACAUGCAAGUCGAGCGGUAAGGCCCUUUCGGGGGUACACGAGCGGCGGACGGCUGAGUAACACGUAGGAACAUACCCCAAAGUGAGGGAUAACUGCUCGAAAGAGUAGCUAAUACCGCAUGUGAUCUAAGGAUUAAAGCUUUACGCGCUUUGGGAAUGGCCUGCGUUCGAUUAGCUAGUUGGUAGUGUAAUGGACUACCAAGGCGAUGAUCGAUAGCUGGUCUGAGAGGAUGAUCAGCCAGACUGGGACUGAGACACGGCCCAGACUCCUACGGGAGGCAGCAGUAGGGAAUUUUCCACAAUGGACGAAAGUCUGAUGGAGCAACGCCGCGUGCAGGAUGAAUGCCUUCGGGUUGUAAACUGCUUUUAUUAGUGACGAAUAUGACGGUAACUAAUGAAUAAGGACCUGCUAACUACGUGCCAGCAGCCGCGGUAA